GGGAGAUAGAAUGUCAUCGGAAUGCCCAUAGACAUCUAAAGCAGUGCAGUGAUUUGGAGGAAAUUAAUGUUUCUGAAAUUGUUGGAUCAUAAAGUUCAAGGGGCAAAAUAUUAGAACUUGAAGCUGGAACAAUAAGCAAGGGUCAAAUGACAGCGAUCCAGUUAGACCAUGUUGAAGACCUCAGAUUGUAUCCUUUCAGUGAUGGGAACAUCGAAACAUUUCAUCUCUCUGUUGCCCUUUCUUUGCAAAUGGGACAGACUCAGGGCAUUCAGAAUAGAAUGUUCCGCUGAGUUGUUGUGAAAACUACAAUGUAAGGAGAAGCAUGAAAAAUACUGCAUAUUCCAUGAAACAAAGAAGCCAAGCUUGAAAUCAGAAUCUCCAACAAACCCCCAAUCAAUUGUGGCAUCCUUAGCUUGGCCGUUGAACAGCUAAGGAGAGGGAAUCACUCCAAGGGUAUUUUUUUUUUCUUGAGAUUUUGAAAGAGUAGAGAUGGACAUCAGAAAUAUUUGACCCAGUCCUUUUUCAAAUUGCUUUGCUGUGCUGAAACUUUUGUGUGGAUGAAAUUCACCUGAGAUGCUUGUUUAACUGCACCUUCCUGAGCCUACCUCUACACAGGCUGAUUUAGCAGAUUUUGGAGUGGGAUCCAGAGUUCUGCUUUUUAAAGAAGAACCUCAAGAGGCCAGGAGCGGUGGCUCACGCCUGUAAUCCCAACACUUUGGGAGGCCGAGGCGGGCGGAUCACGAGG
Molecule: long non-coding RNA, 745 nt
Filed under: Pan troglodytes (chimpanzee)
Lineage: Eukaryota; Metazoa; Chordata; Mammalia; Primates; Hominidae
Description: lincRNA
Source: RNAcentral